CCUAACACAUGCAAGUCGAGCGGAACACUUGGAGCUUGCUCCAAGCGUUUAACGGCGGACGGAUGAGUAACACGUGGGCAACCUGCCCUGCGAAUCGGGAUAACUCCGGGAAACCGGUGCUAAUACCGAAUAGUUUGAAGCCUCUCCUGAGGCUUCACGGAAAGACGGUUUCGGCUGUCACUGCAGGAUGGACCCGCGGCGCAUUAUCUAGUUGGUGGGGUAACGGCCCACCAAGGCCACGAUGCGUACCCGACCUGAGAGGGUGACCGGCCACACUGGGACUGAGACACGGCCCAUACUCCUACGGGAGGCGGCAAUAAGGAAUCUUCCGCAAUGGACGCGAGUCUGACGGACCAACGCCGCG
RNAcentral lists this ribosomal RNA (364 nucleotides) under uncultured bacterium. RNAcentral describes it as "bacterial SSU rRNA". It matches the Rfam family "Bacterial small subunit ribosomal RNA", at positions 47 to 401 of the family's 1533-position model. The record is from RNAcentral.